UGCCCACCUGCCGGGGGCCCACGCGGGGCCUGGGGGCGCAGCCCUGCAGGUGCACCUGCCGCGCAGCCACGGCGAGGGACGGCGGGUCCGAGAGCACGUGCGCCAGUUCCACGGGCCACCGCGCCUCCAAGGCCGGCAUCUCGCGCUGGGCUGCCACCAGCAACAGAAGCGACCUUAAACUUGCGAGCCGCUUAGCCUGACUUUACAAAUGGCCUGGGAAGGAGUACUUCUUAACCGUCAUACCGCCCAACCUUCCUGAGAGUCACAUAUCAGUGCCUCGUGUGGUGGCCGCCAGGUAGAUCGAAGGCAGUCCAUGUUUCUGAUCCAAAUCACUGCCCCAGAGCCCAUUCCUUGCAAAGAAGGGGAAGAGCUAAACCCACAAUUCAACCUCUCAUCUAAGAAUAUUGAAGCAAUUUGAAAAUGUUAACUAUUUAGAUUGAGUUGAAAUCAGAUGCUGCCGUGGACUCAUGACACGACGUGACAAGCACAAACAUAUCACAUGGCAAGAAUCUGGGAACUGAGAAUAGUUCGUGUAAAGAAAAGACCUAAUUUCACCAAAGAGUAUAAAGCUAUAAGAUCCUGUUCUUGUAAUUCCUUUCAGUGUAAAGAUAGCAAGUAUGAAAAGCAUCACUUACUCAAAAAUACAGUUUUAAAGAAGAUGGAGACCUUCUAAAGAGUCUUCUUUUCAAUCCUAAAAUGCAUUUACUUGAGUUGUUUUCUAAUUUGUUUUCUAAUUUUAAAUCAGUUUCGCUUUUAUUCUUUUGAUUUGGAAGCAGCUGAGUGUACAUAAUAUAUUAUGAAGCAUUUCAAAAUAUCCUUGCAAGAUUUUUCUAUUUAGCAAAUGGAUUUGUCGAUACAUUAAAGGUAUUUAUUACAUGCUCUGUGGUGUUAAAUGGGGUGAUGUGAGUCUUCUGCUCCAGACCAGUAGAAAAUCCUUAAUUGAAGGAAUCCUUCAUUUUUAUUACUCCAGUUUACUCUGCGAAUGCUUCCUUGUUUUCGUAGACUUUAAGAUACCAACCCUACUUCCAGCACAGCACACCUGUCCACUAUCCUGUACCAGAGGUUUCUGGGAAAACAAAAGCAAAUUGUUUGCUAGAGUUUAAUUGGAAAUCUGUUGGAAUUGGUACAGGAAGUAUCCAAAAAUAGAUUUCACCUUAAUGUAUAUCAGAUAAGCAGUUUCUCUGUGCUGUUUUAGGAAAAGGAAAUCUACUUAAUCUAUUUUUACUUGCAUGUAGUUUUAUGCUAUCUAUUUAUGUAAUCUGGUGAUGUAAUACCUCAUUAGAGAUUUAUCCAAGACUAAACAUCUCUCUACACAGUCAGCAAAUCUGGGGGAAAGAAAGAGCAAGUAGAAAUUCUUGACAAAUUACAGGAAGCAUUACUAGCACGUCGUCGUUCACCUCAAGUUAUCCAUGCGCACGCACAUGCACACGCACACGCACACCUCAACUUCUACCCACACUUGGUCUAUCACAGCUGCCUGUUAAUAGCAUAGACCCUAAGCCAAAUUGUGAAAUAAUCUGUUGUUGGCAUUCUCAUUUUCCCCAUUCUGUUCCUUUUUUUUGUUUGUUUGUUUUUUUCCUUCUGGCAUCAAUACAUCUAUCACCUCAGACCCUCCCCAGCUACAGGUCUCCAAUAAAACUCUAAUAAAACUUAGAAAUUAUCUAAUGUCAGUUAACCGAAUGGCUCAUUAGUGGAUUACACUCUAAUACAAUAGCUUUACUAUAAUGGGGUAACUUCAUUUUGGUAUUAUUUCAGCCAAAGAAUAUCUUCACACCCUAUUCCCCACUCUCCUUUCUCCCUGAAUAUGUUUCAAUGCCUUCUAUAUUAUUUCAAUCACAGCAUUUUUGAUAACAAAGUGUGAUGUUGAAAUGUAGCUUUUUCAUUAAUGGGGAUAUGACUGUAUAACACUGGGAAAGGAAUGCUUUACUUAAGUAAAGGACAAUGCUGAUAGAUGAAAAAUA
Long non-coding RNA from Canis lupus familiaris (dog), 1961 nucleotides. RefSeq lists it as uncharacterized. The record is from RefSeq and is a predicted model, not a curated record. Lineage: Eukaryota; Metazoa; Chordata; Mammalia; Carnivora; Canidae. The transcript is spliced from 2 exons.